This 253-nucleotide ribosomal RNA is filed under the name uncultured bacterium. RNAcentral describes it as "partial 16S ribosomal RNA". It matches the Rfam family "Bacterial small subunit ribosomal RNA", at positions 524 to 776 of the family's 1533-position model. The record is from RNAcentral.
UACGGAGGGAGCUAGCGUUGUUCGGAAUUACUGGGCGUAAAGCGCACGUAGGCGGCUAUUCAAGUCGGGGGUGAAAGCCCGGGGCUCAACCCCGGAACAGCCCUCGAAACUAGAUAGCUAGAAUCUUAGAGAGGCGAGUGGAAUUCCGAGUGUAGAGGUGAAAUUCGUAGAUAUUCGGAAGAACACCAGUGGCGAAGGCGACUCGCUGGACAAGUAUUGACGCUGAGGUGCGAAAGCGUGGGGAGCAAACAGG